AGAAGGAACAAAACGGCAUUUCCGGGAAGAUGGCGGCGCACAAGUCAGGUCCGGCACAUGUUUCCGCGGAAAGGACCCCGCAAUGACGGAUGAUAUCACCUCUUCUUCUCUGUUGAGAGUCUGAGGAUAGAAACUUUUUUCUCACCAUGAAUGUCACCCCAGAGGUCAAGAGUCGUGGGAUGAAGUUUGCUGAGGAGCAGCUGCUAAAGCAUGGAUGGACUCAAGGUGGGACAUGACCCUGCCAAGGAGUUCACAAACCACUGGUGGAAUGAGCUCUUCAACAAGACUGCGGCCAACUUGGUAGUGGAAACUGGGCAGGUAUGAGCUCUUGAUAGAUGGGCACAUGAAACAGAGGGCCUGGGACCUGUGGCGUAGGCAGUCAUGAUAUGUCACCCAUUCACUGGUACUGAUAAUUCUCUACAGGAUGGAGUACAGAUAAGGAGCCUUUCUAAGGAGACCACCCGUUAUAAUCAUCCCAAGCCCAACCUGCUGUAUCAGAAGUUUGUGAAGGUAUUAGAGGCUGUGGGUAACAGAGUCCAUACUUAUUCUCUUUCCUGGUUUCCCUGGGGCCUGAACAGUUGCCUUGUAUGCCUUAUCAAUUCUCAGGACUUUCCUAACAUAGUGGGAUCCUGUGACCAGCCUUGCUGUUGCUUACUUAGACUGCCCAGACCCUCAGCAGGAAUUGAGAUCUUCAGGUUCCGUGGAUCCUGCCAUCUGUUAAGGGAGCAGCAAUAGGGUGUGGGAGGUAGGGUACAGUCUCUUAAGUCAGGAGCUGCCAGAU
Molecule: small RNA, 781 nt
Filed under: Pongo abelii (Sumatran orangutan)
Lineage: Eukaryota; Metazoa; Chordata; Mammalia; Primates; Hominidae
Description: retained intron
Source: RNAcentral